Molecule: non-coding RNA, 2435 nt
Organism: Salmo salar (Atlantic salmon)
Lineage: Eukaryota; Metazoa; Chordata; Actinopteri; Salmoniformes; Salmonidae
Source: RefSeq, a predicted model, not a curated record
GAUAACGACCACCACCCUGUGGAAUUUUGAUAAAACAGUUUAUAGUAAUUCUCCAACAGACUGGAGUUUGGGGCGUCGCCUUUAUGUUACUGGGACCAAUCAGAGAUCUGGCAGAAACUUUGUAAACAAGUCUUACACGUUGUGUGAAAUAGAUUUUAUUUGAUCGUUUCAGUGAGCUGUAUCGUUGGGAAACCCGCAGGACUGGAAGACUUCACUAAGGUUCUUUUACAUGGAAAUGCCCAUAUGAUGAGUGAUUAUAUGUCAUUUCAUAGAAAAGGAAACACUGACAUCUAGAGGGCGCUGAACUCCCAAAACAACUGUAAAAUACAUGAAUACAGAGAUCAUUCAAUCAGAGAGAUGCUCAAAUACGCAACACAGACCGGCCCGUGGUGCCAAGGUCUACCUAUCUCUCCAAAGGGAGGAGGAGAGCAUCAGAAGAGAUGGUCAGCCCUCUGGCCUAGGUCAGGCCAUUGUCUUCCAACAGGUGAGGUCACUCCUACUGUGACGCUAGUCCCUUGACCAACGGUGCAGACGAAAGGUCUGGCCAACCUGAAUGAUGUCAUCAACAGUGCUGCAUCACCCAGUUGAAGACAGGAUCCCACCUGUAAACAGCAGCUUUGAGAGCGCUGGAGCGAGUCAGGAAUGGUGGUUGGUUGGGUGUGGCUCAUCUCAGGUAAGACUUAACUAGCUCUUGUGGUUUACUUUGUACAGUUGAGGUGCUGCUUUCACAUGGGAAGGCUACUGUUUUCAAUGAAGACAUUGUAGCACAGCAAGACCUUGGGCUUUUUGGGUGAUGCAUGUGUUGUACCGUAAGGAAGAAAUAUAAGAAAGAUUCCCUGUAUCUGCAGAUUCCCUCUGAGAAAUAGAAUAUCCUGAAACACUAGACUGUAGUAGUAUACGAGAGGUGUACAUGAUAUAGGAUAGAAUAAAGUAUUGCGUAAGUGUUUGUGUGUGUGUGUGUGUGUGUGUGUGUGCACGUACUCUAGCGCACGUGUGUCAUUCUACUUCCCAGAGUAUACACUGAAUGUCUACAGUAUUCUUAGAUACCACCUCGUAUUGUUGACAAUAGAUUGGGGAAGGCUGUUUCUGCACUGUUGUUUUGAUUGUAACCAGUCUCUCCUGCUUGUCUGUCUUAGGCUUAUGAAUGAGGUUCAAGAGCUUCCUUAUACAUCUUUAAAUCCUUGUUCAGCUAUUGGUGGUUUCAAACUAAAAUCUGAUUCUAGUCUUCUGUCUAUAGGGAUGGAAAGUUCUUUUCAUGUGCAGCGUUGUUGGAAAUAACGAUGAGUGUGUCUAGAAGAAAUUAAACUGUAUUUUUGAUUGUCACUUCACAUCAUGUGCAAGCGUUAGUAGAUAACUAUUUCAUAUUUCCUUGAAGCCUACUUGUUCAUGAGUCGAUAGUGGCUGUCGGCAGAUUCUUUUAGUAUACACAGUUAAUGAAUCGAGAACGGAAUUUCAACACAAUCUAUAUACCCGCUGAGAUCUAAUUCUUAACUCUGCCAAACCAUUACAGAACAUUUCAGAUACUCCACAGUCGGUGAUCAAUUGAUCGAUGACAGUAGUCCGAUUUGCCAACCGGUGUAUUUUUUCAUGUCUUUAAAUGUCUUCAUGGAGGCUGGAUUGCAUGGGAGCCAGUGCCCACUUUGAAGGUAAAGGUCAUAUGAUAAUCUAUUAGUGGUCACAUAUGUUGUUGUCAUUUUCACUAUCACAAAUGAUCUGAUACCAGCACUGUGUCUUUCUUUCUAAACCACCGAAACUCCACAGGCUUUAUUUCCUGUAAAUGGUGGUCAGGUGAUUUCUGUCCCAUCCACCACUCUCAUGUCUCUUUUUUUUUAAACAUUUGAUGUUAUACAGCAGUUAUACAGUCUUUUUCAAUACAUCAAGGACCAUCCACUUUAAGUAGAAGUGUCCUGAAAUAAUUUGUCGCUAAAUCAUUUGCUCGGGUAUCAAGCUGAUAGGCCUAAGUAAACAUUUGCCAAUUGUCUUUGGGUCAUAACAUGACAGACACAUUCCUAGUAUCACACCGUUGCCUGAGUCUCUUGGCGAGGAACCGGAUAUUUCUUGGUCCCUAAGACGAGGGGUCUAUGGAUGAAGGCAUAGGACAGACACCCAGUGUGUCAGGUCAUCCCUCAGUGAAGUGGUUCUGCUCAGAGUGACUCGACACUUUUGACAUGUGCUAGCACACUUGUGCUCAGAUACGUUUCGUUUUUGGAUUAGUCUCUGCAGCAGCUGCCUCUCCACAGCGGUUGAGGUUGAACUCAGGGUGCCCCCCCCCCCCCCACCAGCCACCCUGGGCAGUCGCUACUGCGUGAUUCCUCACAAAACUAGAACAAAAAAAACUAAGGAUUUGGGGGGAUUUUCACAAGAUAUUUUACAUUUACAUUUAAGUCAUUUAGCAGACGCUCUUAUCCAGAGCGACUUACAAAUUGGUGCAUUCA